UGGGGAAUAUUGCACAAUGGGCGAAAGCCUGAUGCAGCGACGCCGCGUGAGGGAUGACGGCCUUCGGGUUGUAAACAUCUUUCAGCAGGGACGAAGCGCAAGUGACGGUACCUGCAGAAGAAGCACCGGCUAACUACGUGCCAGCAGCCGCGGUAAUACGUAGGGUGCAAGCGUUGUCCGGAAUUACUGGGCGUAAAGAGUUCGUAGGCGGUUUGUCGCGUCGUUUGUGAAAACCAGCAGCUCAACUGCUGGCUUGCAGGCGAUACGGGCAGACUUGAGUACUGCAGGGGAGACUGGAAUUCCUGGUGUAGCGGUGAAAUGCGCAGAUAUCAGGAGGAACACCGGUGGCGAAGGCGGGUCUCUGGGCAGUAACUGACGCUGAGGAACGAAAGCGUGGGUAGCGAACAGG
This 409-nucleotide ribosomal RNA is filed under the name bacterium. RNAcentral describes it as "partial 16S ribosomal RNA". It matches the Rfam family "Bacterial small subunit ribosomal RNA", at positions 355 to 776 of the family's 1533-position model. The record is from RNAcentral.